GACGAACGCUGGCGGCGUGCCUAACACAUGCAAGUCGAACGGAGAAUUUUAUUUCGGUAGAAUUCUUAGUGGCGAACGGGUGAGUAACGCGUAGGCAACCUGCCCUUUAGACGGGGACAACAUUCCGAAAGGAGUGCUAAUACCGGAUGUGAUCAUCGUGCCGCAUGGCAGGAUGAAGAAAGAUGGCCUCUACAAGUAAGCUAUCGCUAAAGGAUGGGCCUGCGUCUGAUUAGCUAGUUGGUAGUGUAACGGACUACCAAGGCGAUGAUCAGUAGCCGGUCUGAGAGGAUGAACGGCCACAUUGGGACUGAGACACGGCCCAAACUCCUACGGGAGGCAGCAGUGGGGAAUCUUCCGCAAUGGACGAAAGUCUGACGGAGCAACGCCGCGUGAGUGAUGAAGGAUUUCGGUCUGUAAAGCUCUGUUGUUUAUGGCGAACGUGCAGUGUGUGAACAAUGCAU
Molecule: ribosomal RNA, 461 nt
Filed under: uncultured bacterium
Lineage: Bacteria
Description: bacterial SSU rRNA
Rfam family: Bacterial small subunit ribosomal RNA
Source: RNAcentral